UCGCAACGGGAUCUGGGAAAAAAUCAAUGGGAACGGUUAUUAAUCGCUGUUAAUUAUUUCCCCCAAAAUUUUCGUGAAACCCGCCAAACCCCCAAAUUAUUUACAUUCUAUUUUUUAUCUGUAUUUUUAUGUAAUAGUAAUAGUUAUAAUUAAUUAAAAGUAGAAGAUGAACUAUAUCCCCCUUUCUCAAAGCUCACGCGCAGUAAAAACCCAAGCUCUCUGCCAAACCUCGCCACCGUCGGUGACACCUACGCCGGUCAGUCCCACGCCGGUGACAGACCCUCUUCCAGCCUCGGUUAAACGCACCAAAUCUCAGCAAACAAUUUUCAACAGUUGAGCUAUAAUUCGCACCAUAAACAACCAGCUUCUUCAAACAAUUCGAACCAUCCAAUAAGUUUAGGUUCGUUUCUCGAUUAAGCUUGGCUAACAGGUUCCACAGAUCCCUAAUUCAAGGUUUUUGCUUGAUUCUCAUAAAUUUCUGAUUUAUUUUGCAUGCUCUUCUUUUACUAAUUUUGCAAUUUCUCAAAGUUGAGCCCUAAUUUGCCUAUUUCAUUCCUCACUGAAGAAGAAUUUGUCGUUGGGUAGCUGUGGAAUAGAUAUCAUUGUAAGUUCCUUACUGCUGGAUUAAUUGAUUUUAAUUUUAUUUUUGGGGUAUUUAAGCGAUGUACUGUUGUUAUUGGUGUUGUAUUCAUUUUAUUUUGGAAUUACUCUUCAUUCUCAAAAUUGUUGUUAUUGGUGUUGUAUUCAUUGUUUCCAUAGGUGUUCCUGUUGUUGUACUGUUGGUUCAUUGCAGCAAAUUAUCUUGCAUUUUCAUAUAGAUCCCUAGCAUGUUUCUCAGCGUUGAUAUCAUAAUAGAACUUUCCAUUUCCCAAGAAUCUUGUGUCACUCAUCCCUUGCUGCUGGUGCACCCUGUAAUUACUUUUGCCAGUAUUGUAGUUAUUAUAGUUGGUGGAGUAACUCUAUUCUUGAUUGUUGUUGUAAUUGUUUCCGUAAUUUGUUGGGUUGGUGCUGUAAGUUCUGGCACUUAAUCUUGUCUCGUUCAACUCCCGUUGCUCGUUGUUAUUGUUUUUGUAGUAAGUAUUACCACCAUUGUUGUUGUAGUACUCCUCCUC
This 1112-nucleotide long non-coding RNA is filed under the name Nicotiana benthamiana. RNAcentral describes it as "long non-coding RNA (NBEN_LNC039481)". The record is from RNAcentral. Lineage: Eukaryota; Viridiplantae; Streptophyta; Magnoliopsida; Solanales; Solanaceae.